This is a long non-coding RNA of Dromaius novaehollandiae (emu), 1594 nucleotides long. RefSeq lists it as uncharacterized. The record is from RefSeq and is a predicted model, not a curated record. NCBI's taxonomy places the organism in Eukaryota, Metazoa, Chordata, Aves, Casuariiformes, Dromaiidae. The transcript is spliced from 4 exons.
AUUGUAAAAAUAUCACAUGAACUAGUGUUACUCUGUCUGUCAUAAAGUGCUGGUUCAAAGAAGAACUUUCCCACUGUGUGAUGGAGGAUUUUGUUCCUGUCUGUCUGAAAAACUGAAGCUUUAAAGUCUAAUACCUUGGUAUUAGACUUUCACCUCUGCUGUUACCUUGAAAUUCCAAGUUAAUUCCAGAGGAAUUAAAAGAACAGGUAAUCCUGAUUAAAUCUUCUCCUGGAAUAAAGGAACUUUGGUCUGAGGGUGAAUCUACAUUUUAUGUCUUUAUCUGAGAGUUUCUUCACCCACUGCUUGAAGCAUGUGACUCUGAUCACCCCCAAGGCCAGAGUAUCACCAGGUGAGACAGAAGUUUGAACUACUAUGAUGAGCCCGUGUUUCUGUGAGGCCAAGAGCAAUCAAAAAAUAGCUCUUGAGGAAGACAACCACAGAACAACUCCAGAGAAAGCAUAGUCUUUCCCACUUAACUCUUCGGCAACACGUUUUGAGAUAAUAUUUGCAAAAUCAUGGCCAAUAAAUAAGAUUUCACACUUUUUUCCUCCUUGUCAUUUAUUGGAAUAUGGUGCUAUUGUAAAUUUUAUACUGAAUGUAUCUACAAAUAAGAACUACUUUUUAAACUGUUCAUUCAUUGACAGCAAACAUCAGUUAAUCUUGCUGAGAUGAAAAAAAAUAGGAGUGAAUUUGAAUGAAAGAAUUAUUCAGUAAUAUCCUGGUUUAGAUUGUUUCUUUUAAGCGAAUCACAGUGCUUUACUUUCACAGGACUUUUGGCUACUUUCAUGUUUUUAAAAUUAUCCAUGAUAAACAAGAUGUUUAACAACUCCAAUUGUAAACUGAGUUAUCAAUUAUAUACCACUGUUUUGGGACAAUAAUACAGAAGUUCCUGCAUAAACAAGAGCAAGCUAUGAGAUAACAGUAAUAAACCUUCCACAGGCACUCAGAAAAGACAGAAAGUGGAACAGCAAAUUUAUUAUUUACCCUUUUUAAGGAGAAGAUCUACAUGUGCUCUACAUAGAAUGAUUAUAGGGAGCAUUCCAUCUAAUUUUUGAUGCAUUAAACUAGUGCACCAGCUGCACUGAAUGCACUAACCUACUUGCCUAAGUUAGGGCUCAAGGCUUCUGCUGUAAUCAGAGGAGAUGAAAAGUUUUGAUAGGCUAGAGUACCUUGGAGUUAUCUAUCAAGGGGUGCUUGCAGUGACAAGGCUUAGAAUCAGAUUUACUAUUUAUGUACUUAAAUUCAGCUGAAAAGUAGUCAAACCUGUUUGCUUUAUGUUUUUCAUCAUGAACCAAUGUAUGUAAAAUAUGAACAUGUGCCAACUUGAUUGAGAGCUUAUACAAAUCAAAAUCUUGCCUUUAGAACACACUGUGUAAUCAGGUUUUGUAUUUGUACUAGUUUUUGAUAUUUGUUUUCACUAUGAAAGCAAGUUGCAUGAAAUUCUGGAGUAUCCACUGGUGUUAUAACCAAUAAAAGAAUGGAAAGGAAUACAUAAGCCUUUCCUUUUACUUUUUAUUGCUAUUCGCUUUGGGACUUGCAUAUCACUAUGGGUAGCAUUUCCUUACAAGCAAAUAAAUGAAUGAACAAUACAAAA